This 400-nucleotide unclassified non-coding RNA is filed under the name uncultured bacterium. RNAcentral describes it as "contains 16S-23S intergenic spacer region". It matches the Rfam family "Bacterial small subunit ribosomal RNA", at positions 797 to 1194 of the family's 1533-position model. The record is from RNAcentral.
ACGCCGUAAACGAUGAGUGCUAAGUGUUAGGGGGUUUCCGCCCCUUAGUGCUGCAGCUAACGCAUUAAGCACUCCGCCUGGGGAGUACGGUCGCAAGACUGAAACUCAAAGGAAUUGACGGGGGCCCGCACAAGCGGUGGAGCAUGUGGUUCAAUUCGAAGCAACGCGAAGAACCUUACCAGCCCUUGACAUGCCACGACGGUUUCCAGAGAUGGAUUCCUCCCCGCAAGGGGCGUGGACACAGGUGCUGCAUGGCUGUCGUCAGCUCGUGUCGUGAGAUGUUGGGUUAAGUCCCGCAACGAGCGCAACCCUUAUCUUUAGUUGCCAUGUCGCAAGACGGAACUCUAAAGAAACUGUCGGCCACAAGCCGAAGGAAGGUGGGGAUGACGUGUAACCGAAU